UCUGCAGGCCGGGCAGCCGCGGGGAGGUUUUCUUCUCGAGGAAAGUCCGGACAUCGCAGGGCAGGGUGGUCGGUAACGCCGACCCGGGGAAACCCGCGGGAAAGUGCAACAGAAAGAACACCGCCCACGUCCGGGGGUUCGUCGGUCAGCCGACGUGUCGCCUCCGGGCCGGCAAGGUUGAAAAGGUGCGGUAAGAGCGCACCGGCGUCGCGGUGACGCGGCGGCCCGGCAAACCCCACCCGAUGCAAGGCCAAGCAGGACCGUUCGCAGGUUGCCCGCCGAGGUCCAGGUAG
RNAcentral lists this RNase P RNA (293 nucleotides) under Chloroflexota bacterium. Its description in RNAcentral is "partial RNase P RNA component class A". It matches the Rfam family "Bacterial RNase P class A", at positions 1 to 274 of the family's 367-position model. From Rfam's summary of the family: Ribonuclease P (RNase P) is a ubiquitous endoribonuclease, found in archaea, bacteria and eukarya as well as chloroplasts and mitochondria. The record is from RNAcentral. Lineage: Bacteria; Bacillati; Chloroflexota.